AUUGAACGCUGGCGGCAGGCCUAACACAUGCAAGUCGAGCGGCGCGGCGGACGGGUGAGUAAGACCUAGGAAUCGGACUGGGCGUGGGGGAUCACGUUCGGAAACGGACACUAAUACCACAUACUAUCAGAUGACCCUAGGUCGGAUUAGCUAGGUGGGGAGGGAAUGGCACACCAAGGCUACGAUCCGUAACUGGUCUGAGAGGAUGAGCAGUCACGCUGGAACUGAGACGCGGUCCAGACUCCUACGGGAGGGAGCGGUGGGGAAUAUUGGACAAUGGACUAAAGCCUGAUCCGGCCAUGCCGCGUGUGGGAAGAAGGUCUUCGGAUUGUAAAGCUCUUUAAGUUGUGAGGCGUUACCGACAGAAUAAGCACCGGCUAACUCUGUGCCAGCCGCCGCGGUAAUUC
This 407-nucleotide ribosomal RNA is filed under the name uncultured bacterium. RNAcentral's name for it is "partial 16S ribosomal RNA". It matches the Rfam family "Bacterial small subunit ribosomal RNA", at positions 30 to 526 of the family's 1533-position model. The record is from RNAcentral.